Molecule: long non-coding RNA, 1739 nt
Filed under: Pan troglodytes (chimpanzee)
Lineage: Eukaryota; Metazoa; Chordata; Mammalia; Primates; Hominidae
Description: long non-coding RNA NONPTRT011954
Source: RNAcentral
CUUGAACACCGUAACCCUUCUUUGGCCUCGCUGGACUCUUCUACUUGAAUAGACUAAAAACUCUAAAGGCAUAAAAAUUAGGAAGACCAAUUAGCUAAUCUUACUCUUUUUGAAAUUCAGAAAUUAACUUUUUUCAUAUUAAAGAAGAUAUCUUGGCUAUCGCAUAUAAGAAAGAGUUCUCCUGAUGGCAACAGCAUGUCUUUUCUUUGAUGUCCAGCACAGCCACUUGGUCUGAUCAUUGCAAUUUAUUUUUAUAUGAUGUGUGCAUUUUGCUUACCUAGAGCUAAAUUCAUAUACACAAACAGCUUAUUUUAUUAAGUUGCACACAUUAAUUUGCAAUAGCUAUUUCCUUUCCCCUGAGUGCAAGUGUUAAUAACCUUGUUAUGUACUUAAGCAAUGUGCUUAUGUCUCAAAGAAAACCCUGUCUUUGAAACUCUGCCUCUGGAAAGAUGCAAGCUAUGUUUUUGCCAAUAACACAUGAAUAAUAAUAGUGAGGAUAUGCUGUCUCUUGCAGGGGUGAGGACCUGCUAAAUAUAACUGUCCUCAUUGAAGUGUGUUUGGACUACUUUGGCAAGAUGGGCAAGUAGCAAUUGCUUAUAAUUCAGUGGGUCAGGAUAUGAAGACUUUGGUUCAAGCUCGCUGAAGACACACAGAUUGCUCACAGGGAACUUCUAAACUCUUUCUUUUAUUGUUUCUAUCCUAUUUACUAGCUGUUUUAUCGUGAUUCUGAAACCACUGUAAGGGACAGCCACAGAAUUGCAUUGGAGGGUAUGCCUUUCUACGAAUUGAGCCCUCUAUAAAUAGCACAGGAGGGAAUACUUGCUAUUUGUCUUUGAACCAGUGUUUACUUUUAUUAAGAAAAAAUUACUGAGAAAGGGACCAUGAACCCUAACUCAAACAUGACUUUUGAACAUCAAGCCCACUUUGCCAUCUACUAAAAAGAGUUAACUCAUAUCAAUACUCUAUACAACUAAAAUAACCCACUUAAUUGACUAAAAAAAGAGUCUAGCUCAUUGCUCUCCUGAUUCUCCUCAGCAUCUGGCAGUUGUAGUGUUCCUGUGUUCAAGCUUUACUUGAACUUUACAGAGCUUCCUGUGUCACCUCUGGUUGGAGCGGAGGGGCUGUAAAGGUGUCUGUCAUCUAGCACAUGCAACUUAGCAUGCUCUCUUGAACAUCUUAUCUCAGGACUAGCUUACGCAGCUCUUGAAAAGCAGAGUAUUCCAUGUUGUUAAAUCUAUGUAUUGAGAAGAUGAGAUAAACCCUGGUAAAUUAUGUAGUUUAUGAAAACUCCAUUGACCUGGCCUUUGCAUUCAAAUUCUUUAACUUGGCCCAUAGCUUCUUUCUCCUUAGCAAUUCUGGUCGUCCAGCACCAUUCUGACAAACUUUAUGAAAGCCAAAUCAAGAUAAAUAGAACCUCAGUGCUGAUCAUCAUUAAUGUUUAAUGCAUACCCAGAUGGCAUGACAGCAGCCAGCGUGGCCUUUUUGUUGAAGUUAAUUGACAUAAAAAGUAAAUAAAACCCUAUUCUUCCUAACAGGCCCAGUUCUGGUGAUGAUUUCACUUUUGACAGAAGCUGUCCCUCAAAAGCAAACAUGCAAUAGAAGAAACAGAUCUCAUGAUGUUCAUAUCAGCAGUACAGCGCUGGACUUCCUAGUGAAGAAAACAGCAAGAUUAUAGACACAGUUUAGAACAAAGGAACACCAUAUACAUUUAAAGGCAUAAAGUAUUUACUCACUCCCUG